This 497-nucleotide ribosomal RNA is filed under the name uncultured bacterium. RNAcentral's name for it is "partial 16S ribosomal RNA". It matches the Rfam family "Bacterial small subunit ribosomal RNA", at positions 28 to 507 of the family's 1533-position model. The record is from RNAcentral.
GAUGAACGCUGGCGGCGUGCCUAAUACAUGCAAGUAGAACGCUGAAGGAAGGAGCUUGCUCUUUCCGGAUGAGUUGCGAACGGGUGAGUAACGCGUAGGUAACCUGCCUGGUAGCGGGGGAUAACUAUUGGAAACGAUAGCUAAUACCGCAUAACAGUAGAUGUUGCAUGAUAUCUACUUAAAAGGUGCAAUUGCACCACUACCAGAUGGACCUGCGUUGUAUUAGCUAGUUGGUGAGGUAACGGCUCACCAAGGCGACGAUACAUAGCCGACCUGAGAGGGUGAUCGGCCACACUGGGACUGAGAAACGGCCCAGACUCCUACGGGAGGCAGCAGUAGGGAAUCUUCGGCAAUGGACGGAAGUCUGACCGAGCAACGCCGCGUGAGUGAAGAAGGUUUUCGGAUCGUAAAGCUCUGUUGUAAGAGAAGGACGAGUGUGAGAGUGGAAAGUUCACACUGUGACGGUAUCUUACCAGAAAGGGACGGCUAACUACGUG